UUUAGAGGAACCAGACUCAAAGGGGAACCUCAUCCUCAAAUGGGUUUCGAUACAUUAUAUGAAUCUUUAUAUAUUAACGUUGUAGGAAUGUUUAUAAACCAUUAGAGUUAGUGGUUCAGCAGGAAAAACAUAAUAGCUAGAACAUAACAGUUGGCAGCUGUAUUAUACUAUAUUUAAUUAAUAAUGCACGGUUUAUUGUAUUCUAUCUCGUUUCCUGUCUUUUCAUGAAUUGCUGUUCAGAAUCGACUCCACUGAUUCAUUGUCACUCGAAUCAGAAUCGGAGUCAGCUACAGGAUUUCUCAUUUUGAGCAGCAUACAGUAGUAUGGUAUUAUGUUAGCGUAUGUUGUCAUGUCAAGGAACGUCGGGGGAGUUUUCUUGUUCCCAUCGGGUGUGGCUGUCCACUGUUGAAUACUCUUUGCAUAUCUCUGUCUCUUGUCUCUGAUUGGCCAACUUGCGGAGUAAACCGUUUAGAAUCGGAGAAUUUAAAUCCUUUCGUAUUAAAAGCGCUUCCAAGAAGUGACAUCCUCCUACAGAAGUCUCGUAUGAACCUGUGAUCUAACGGUAAAGCUCUUACCUGCUUCGUGCUGCACACAAAAAGAGUUUGAGAAACGUUUUGAAACGUUAACUGAGAAUCGUCAGCAGCUCCAUUUUGUGUGGAGUGAAAACUAAAAGAUUUCAGGAGUAAAAACAGGUUUAAUUUAACACACCGAUGUUGGAGUGAAGUAAACGUGUGUCCUGCUGUAAUCUUGAGAAGGAGACAUGACCUCCAAUAUAAGUGUGUCUGGAAAACAGGACUUACAGUAAAGAAAGACGAGAGAAUGAUGGAGGGAAAGAGAUCAGACUCACCAGAACCCAGCUGUGUGUCCAUGAAGAGUGACAAGUCAAUGGGACAUCCAAUUGCCUUCAGAGACAGAGACAGUUCUACUGAUGUGAGACCACAAAACUCAAACAUCAUCAGAAAUCAGCUGGACUCUAUAUUCAAGGAGCUGGAACACAAAGUCAUCACUCUGAUAAAGAAUGAGCUGAAGAGGUU
Molecule: long non-coding RNA, 1034 nt
Organism: Tachysurus fulvidraco (yellow catfish)
Lineage: Eukaryota; Metazoa; Chordata; Actinopteri; Siluriformes; Bagridae
Exons: 6
Source: RefSeq, a predicted model, not a curated record